GCCUGGGUGGCUCAGUUGGUUAAGUGUCUGACUUCAGCUCGGGUUAUGAUGUCCCGGUUCGUGGGUUCGAGCCCUACAUCAGGCU
Felis catus (domestic cat) is the source of this 85-nucleotide transfer RNA. It matches the Rfam family "tRNA". From Rfam's summary of the family: Transfer RNA (tRNA) molecules are approximately 80 nucleotides in length. Their secondary structure includes four short double-helical elements and three loops (D, anti-codon, and T loops). NCBI's taxonomy places the organism in Eukaryota, Metazoa, Chordata, Mammalia, Carnivora, Felidae. The record is from Rfam.